This 154-nucleotide unclassified non-coding RNA is filed under the name uncultured fungus. RNAcentral describes it as "sequence contains ITS1, 5.8S rRNA gene". The record is from RNAcentral. Lineage: Eukaryota; Fungi.
ACGAAUCGUGCUUUGGUGGUGAUUAUGUCAUUCGCCAAACAUAUGUGCUCUCCAGGCAACUGGAGGUGCAAAUAUCAUAUAUAUGAUGUAGUGUAUUAUUAUCUAGUGAAUGUAUGGUUGUCUCACCAAGUGGUACAAUCUGUAUAAUCAAAUG